UGGGAGGACCAUCUCCUAAGGCUAAAUACUCUCUAGUGACCGAUAGUGAACCAGUACCGUGAGGGAAAGGUGAAAAGCACCCCGGAAGGGGAGUGAAAUAGAACCUGAAACCGUGUGCUUACAAGUAGUCAGAGCCCGUUAAUGGGUGAUGGCGUGCCUUUUGUAGAAUGAACCGGCGAGUUACGAUUUGAUGCAAGGUUAAGCAGUAAAUGUGGAGCCGUAGCGAAAGCGAGUCUGAAUAGGGCGUUUAGUAUUUGGUCGUAGACCCGAAACCAGGUGAUCUACCCUUGGUCAGGUUGAAGUUCAGGUAACACUGAAUGGAGGACCGAACCGACUUACGUUGAAAAGUGAGCGGAUGAACUGAGGGUAGCGGAGAAAUUCCAAUCGAACCUGGAGAUAGCUGGUUCUCUCCGAAAUAGCUUUAGGGCUAGCCUCAAGUGAUGAUUAUUGGAGGUAGAGCACUGUUUGGACGAGGGGCCCCUCUCGGGUUACCGAAUUCAGACAAACUCCGAAUGCCAAUUAAUUUAACUUGGGAGUCAGAACAUGGGUGAUAAGGUCCGUGUUCGAAAGGGAAACAGCCCAGACCACCAGCUAAGGUCCCAAAAUAUAUGUUAAGUGGAAAAGGAUGUGGCGUUGCCCAGACAACUAGGAUGUUGGCUUAGAAGCAGCCAUCAUUUAAAGAGUGCGUAAUAGCUCACUAGUCGAGUGACACUGCGCCGAAAAUGUACCGGGGCUAAACAUAUUACCGAAGCUGUGGAUUGUCCUUUGGACAAUGGUAGGAGAGCGUUCUAAGGGCGUUGAAGCAUGAUCGUAAGGACAUGUGGAGCGCUUAGAAGUGAGAAUGCCGGUGUGAGUAGCGAAAGACGGGUGAGAAUCCCGUCCACCGAUUGACUAAGGUUUCCAGAGGAAGGCUCGUCCGCUCUGGGUUAGUCGGGUCCUAAGCUGAGGCCGACAGGCGUAGGCGAUGGAUAACAGGUUGAUAUUCCUGUACCACCUAUAAUCGUUUUAAUCGAUGGGGGGACGCAGUAGGAUAGGCGAAGCGUGCGAUUGGAUUGCACGUCUAAGCAGUAAGGCUGAGUAUUAGGCAAAUCCGGUACUCGUUAAGGCUGAGCUGUGAUGGGGAGAAGACAUUGUGUCUUCGAGUCGUUGAUUUCACACUGCCGAGAAAAGCCUCUAGAUAGAAAAUAGGUGCCCGUACCGCAAACCGACACAGGUAGUCAAGAUGAGAAUUCUAAGGUGAGCGAGCGAACUCUCGUUAAGGAACUCGGCAAAAUGACCCCGUAACUUCGGGAGAAGGGGUGCUCUUUAGGGUU
RNAcentral lists this ribosomal RNA (1313 nucleotides) under Staphylococcus aureus. Its description in RNAcentral is "partial 23S ribosomal RNA". It matches the Rfam family "Bacterial large subunit ribosomal RNA", at positions 445 to 1762 of the family's 2925-position model. The record is from RNAcentral. Lineage: Bacteria; Bacillati; Bacillota; Bacilli; Caryophanales; Staphylococcaceae.